This 485-nucleotide ribosomal RNA is filed under the name uncultured bacterium. Its description in RNAcentral is "bacterial SSU rRNA". It matches the Rfam family "Bacterial small subunit ribosomal RNA", at positions 501 to 982 of the family's 1533-position model. The record is from RNAcentral.
CUACGUGCCAGCAGCCGCGGUAAUACGUAGGGCGCGAGCGUUGUCCGGAAUUAUUGGGCGUAAAGAGCUUGUAGGCGGUUUGUCGCGUCUGCUGUGAAAGGCCGGAGCUUAACUCCGUGUAUUGCAGUGGGUACGGGCAGACUAGAGUGCAGUAGGGGAGACUGGAAUUCCUGGUGUAGCGGUGGAAUGCGCAGAUAUCAGGAGGAACACCGAUGGCGAAGGCAGGCCUCUGGGCUGUAACUGACGCUGAGAAGCGAAAGCAUGGGGAGCGAACAGGAUUAGAUACCCUGGUAGUCCAUGCCGUAAACGUUGGGCACUAGGUGUGGGGGACAUUCCACGUUUUCCGCGCCGUAGCUAACGCAUUAAGUGCCCCGCCUGGGGAGUACGGCCGCAAGGCUAAAACUCAAAGAAAUUGACGGGGGCCCGCACAAGCGGCGGAGCAUGCGGAUUAAUUCGAUGCAACGCGAAGAACCUUACCAAGGCUU